Molecule: ribosomal RNA, 663 nt
Filed under: Triticum aestivum (bread wheat)
Lineage: Eukaryota; Viridiplantae; Streptophyta; Magnoliopsida; Poales; Poaceae
Description: partial small subunit ribosomal RNA
Source: RNAcentral
AUGGCGCUUCGAACUCUUGCCGCGAGGACGAGGAGCGCCGCCCUGCAUCUGGCGCCGAGGUCCUCGCCGCCGGCGACCAUCGGCGCUUCUCCCUCCGCCCCACGCGCACACUACUUCUCGACGAGUGCUGUGGAGAUUGACCCCAUGAUUCUCAAGAAGCUGCUCGCCGAGCAGUUAAAUUGUUCUGGAAUCUCAAGCAAUUGCCUUCUGGAGAUCCAAACGGUGAAGUAUCUGCAGGCGCUCACUCUCAUAUUAAUUGUGUCUGGGGUUGGGGGUGUCUACUAUAUUGGACAGAAUCUGAUGGAUCGGGGGUCAGAGAUUACGGGGCAGCUGAAAAAGCAUGCCCCGGAAAUCUUGGGCGACAUCUGCAAUGAGGCUUUGUUCCAGAUGAAGAUACCAUUCAUCGGCAGCAAAGAAAGCCGGUUUGAAUUGAAGGACUACUGGUUUAACGACCCCAACAAGUCACUAAGCAGGCAAGAGCAGAGGGCGAGGCGUGCGUUGGCCAUACAAGAGAAGGACCGGAUCAGACGCGCAACCUGUGUAGCGUCAGUGACCAUGAAAUCUGCGAUCUCUGAUGUGAUAGGUGAAGACAUCUAUGAGGACCGAAGACAAUAUAAGAUAACGGCCAUCAAGCAUUUCCUGGCGCCGUUGCCGGGGAGCUAA